AGUAAUUAUUAAUGCCUAAAGAAAUGGUAAUGAGAUGCUGUUAGAUUUAGCUUCUUCAUCAUUCACUUUCAGGUUUCAUAUGAUUUGCUUGUCUUUGCCCCUAUGGUUUGUCAAAUGUGUUUAGGUGCACUCAUGCUCAUGUUGAAAAAGUUAUGCUAUGGUUGAUAAUAUCCUGAACUGCAGUCUUGUCAUGAGGGUUGUUUAGAGCAUGAAGCUCUGCAUACCCAAAAGAAGAAACUGUAUUUAAACCUUUUGGAAAAAUCACCUUUCUGCUGUUCUUGGGUUGUAUAUUUUUUUUUUGAUAAGGGCUUAGAGAUUGACUUGAUGGAGGUUCGACUGUUGGGCCCAUCCAGCAUUGGCAGCAUGUAGGAUGAAGAUGGUUGUUGAGGUCCGUGCUUCUAAUGAAAACUAGCAAUGUUAGCAGAAGAAUUUGCUGUGUUGGAACAGGAUAGAAAUGUUAUGCAUAGAUCUGCUGAAGCUGUUCUGGUAAGGAAGUCCUUGGUAUGUUGUCUUCCAUAAAAUAAUUUCGGCCACCUACCCUCUUUGCUAAUAUGUUUGUCUUUAUGUUUUUUAAAAAGAACUAUCUUUUAUAAAUAUUCAUCACUCUUUAACAUUUACCCUAUGUUUUGUAAUUCUGCUAGAAACCAUGUAUAUAAAAUUUUGUAUGCUUGAAUGGACCAAGUGAAACAACUAGAUUGGGACAAUAUGCCAUCACUGGCACUUCUUUGACAUCCAUCACACUUCUUUCGUCUCAACAGGUCAGUACUGGCAAAUGGCAAGACAGUGUACCUAGUUAGAAGGAAAAUGAUUCAGGACAUCUACUUUGUGCACUUGGAAAGUUCAUCAGGCUUAUAACUGCUGGCUUGUCGAAUCCAUAAUCAACCAAGCUGUGUUGCCAGUAAAUCCUGUGAGUUACACCAACUUUGCUCUUACCACGUGGCAAGAGAAUUGUUCAUGCGUACAUAACGAGAGCCCCUGGCAUUACUUAUUGCAGAGUUAUAAUGCAAUGCUAUUAUGCUUCUCACUUUAGGUGGAACAUCCCCCCUUCGUGCAAUUAGAUUGGUUUGGUUCGCUUGCCAAUCUUGUCCAUAUUCCAUUAAUCCUGAUUUGUUGAUCCUAGAUCCUACCGUUAAUCCCGUUGCAACAAAAAAUUAUGUAAAACAUCAACAAAAAUGUGAACUGAUCGUAGCAAACCUCAUCAGUCUCUGAUCCUCUUUCCGUACAUGUUCCGGAUUGCAGCCGGUGUUUGCAGCCUACGCUCUCAAAAAAGUUGUUCAUCAGUUCGGAAAAGUUGAUUCAAAAGUAAUAUUUUUAUUCAGGUUUCACUUCAUCACAGUACGUAGUGGAUGCUGGAACCCUGGAUGCUGUAAAAUAACACCACCAUCGGACGUUUUAGUGCAUAUCAAACAAGCCUGGCUUCUUAUCCACUCAGCAACAAUCGGAUGUUUUGUUAGUGAAUAUUUUGGUCAUUAAAAAAAUUAUUUAAAUUAAAAUAAUUUUUUGAUGUUAGUCAGAAAGUAUUGUGGGAAAAAUUUCAAAAUAAAAUUUUUUUUAAAUAGAUUUUUUCAGUUUUUUAAUUUUUUAUUACACCUCACUGUACCAUCCAAUAAUAUUUUUUGAGGAUCAGAGAAAUACUUUUUGAAAAAAAAAGAUAAGAUCAACGGCUUUUACUGUCUAACUAGUUGGGAUUCAGUGUGCAGAUCUAUUGAGCAAAAGGGAUCGGGCAUUAAGAAUCUUAAGCAAAUGGAUAUAGCUUUACUAUUUAAGUGGGCAUGAAAAUUCAUAAAUGGUUCAUCAAACCCGUGGUGGCAUUAAGUUAAGUCAGCCUAUUACUCAAGACGGAGGCUUGGCAUGUGCAUUGCAAGGAACUACUCUCGAUUCUCAUAUGUCUGGAGGAUGUGAACAAACACUUGAGCACCUUUUGGAACUGUAUUGGUGAUGGUGCAAAGAUUAGAUUUUGAGAGGACUGUUGGGUUGGGCCUAUCUCCUUGACGAAGUUAUUC
Non-coding RNA from Elaeis guineensis (African oil palm), 2003 nucleotides. The record is from RefSeq and is a predicted model, not a curated record. NCBI's taxonomy places the organism in Eukaryota, Viridiplantae, Streptophyta, Magnoliopsida, Arecales, Arecaceae.